RNAcentral lists this ribosomal RNA (301 nucleotides) under uncultured bacterium. RNAcentral's name for it is "partial 16S ribosomal RNA". It matches the Rfam family "Bacterial small subunit ribosomal RNA", at positions 509 to 807 of the family's 1533-position model. The record is from RNAcentral.
CAGUCGCCGCGGGAAUACGUAGGGGGCAAGCGUUAUCCGGAAUUACUGGGUGUAAAGGGAGCGUAGACGGUUAAACAAGUCUGAAGUGAAAUGCCGGGGCUCAACCCCGGAGCUGCUUUGGGAACUGUAGAACUGGAGUGUCGGAGGGGUAAGCGGAAUUCCCAGUGUAGCGGUGAAAUGCGUAGAUAUUGGGAGGAACACCGGCGGCGAAGGCGGCUUACUGGACGACAACUGACGUUGAGGCUCGAAGGCGUGGGUAGCAAACAGGAUUAGAUACCCCUGUAGUCCCUGUCUCUUAUAC